GUCCCUAUCUACUAUCUAGCGAAACCACAGCCAAGGGAACGGGCUUGGAAUAAUUAGCGGGGAAAGAAGACCCUUUUGAGCUUGACUCUAAUCUGGCAGUGUAAGGAGACAUAAGAGGUGUAGCAUAAGUGGGAGAUAUUAGAUUUCGGUUUGGUAUCGACAAUGAAAUACCACUACUCUUAUUGUUUCCUUACUUACUUGAUUAAAUGGAACGUGUAUCAUUUCCUAGCCAUUAAACGGAUAUAUUUAUUAUAUCUUAUGGUAUUGGGUUUUGAUGCAAGCUUCUUGAUCAACGUAUCACGAGUUUGUUAUAUAAUCGCAAACAAAUUCUUUAAUGAGAAGAUGCAUUUAUGUAUUUUCAAUUUGAAAAUUUGGUAAAACUCCAAUUACUCAAGUAUGAUCCAAUUCAAGGACAUUGCCAGGUAGGGAGUUUGACUGGGGCGGUACAUCUCUCAAAUAAUAACGGAUGUGUCCCAAAGCCAGCUCAGUGCGGACAGAAACCACACAUAGAGCAAAAGGGCAAAUGCUGACUUGAUCUCGGUGUUCAGUACACACAGGGACAGCAAAAGCUCGGCCUAUCGAUCCUUUUGGUUUAAAGAGUUUUUAACAAGAGGUGUCAGAAAAGUUACCAUAGGGAUAACUGGCUUGUGGCGGCCAAGCGUUCAUAGCGACGUCGCUUUUUGAUCCUUCGAUGUCGGCUCUUCCUAUCAUUGUGAAGCAAAAUUCACCAAGCGUUGGAUUGUUCACCCAUGCAAGGGAACGUGAGCUGGGUUUAGACCGUCGUGAGACAGGUUAGUUUUUCCCUACUAAUGACAAAACGUUGUUGCGACAGCAUUCCUGCGUAGUACGAGAGGAACCGCAGGUACGGACCAGUGGCACAAUACUUGGUCGAGCGAACAGGAAG
Long non-coding RNA from Drosophila miranda, 904 nucleotides. RefSeq lists it as uncharacterized. The transcript is spliced from 3 exons. NCBI's taxonomy places the organism in Eukaryota, Metazoa, Arthropoda, Insecta, Diptera, Drosophilidae. The record is from RefSeq and is a predicted model, not a curated record.